Molecule: non-coding RNA, 73 nt
Organism: Salmo salar (Atlantic salmon)
Lineage: Eukaryota; Metazoa; Chordata; Actinopteri; Salmoniformes; Salmonidae
Source: Rfam
AUCCCUGUAGCUCAGUUGGUAGAGCAUGGUGUUUGCAACGCCAGGGUUGUGGGUUCAAUUCCCACGGGGGGCC